RNAcentral lists this ribosomal RNA (320 nucleotides) under uncultured eukaryote. RNAcentral's name for it is "partial 18S ribosomal RNA". It matches the Rfam family "Eukaryotic small subunit ribosomal RNA", at positions 1470 to 1796 of the family's 1831-position model. The record is from RNAcentral.
CCCUUAGAUGUUCUGGGCUGCACGCGUGCUACAAUGGCGCUUGCAACAAGUCUUGCCAACCCGAUAGGGUGAGCGGAUCUUUGAAGAGGCGUCGUGAUCGGGACAGUUGAUUGCAAUUAUUCGACUCGAACGAGGAAUUCCUUGUAAUCGCGAUUCAUCAUAUCGCGCUGAAUACGUCCCUGCCCUUUGUACACACCGCCCGUCGCUCCUACCGAUUGAGCGAUCCGGUGAAUGUUUUGGACUGGCGUCAGAAGCGGUUCGCUCCUGACACUACGAAAUUUUGUAAACCUUACCGCUUAGAGGAAGGAAAAGUCGUAACA